RNAcentral lists this unclassified non-coding RNA (1629 nucleotides) under Hevea brasiliensis (rubber tree). The record is from RNAcentral. Lineage: Eukaryota; Viridiplantae; Streptophyta; Magnoliopsida; Malpighiales; Euphorbiaceae.
UUUUUUUUUAACAUUUGCAUACUUUUUACUAGAAUCACUGUAAAGUAGACAUAUAUAGUUGUUCAAUAUUUACCUAGCCUACUUGAUCAGACUCAAGGCAUAUUAUUAAUUUGGUGACCCAAACCCGAGUCUCUACUCUCUUUCUAGUCAUCAAUUUCUUCACCUCAGCUGUUAACUAAGCACAAACCAAAGCCUGCAAGGCUGUAACCUCUUGUAGGUUGAUCAAUUAAAAAGCAGAAGCAGCUGCUGUAUAUCCUUCUAUCAAACACUAUGAGAAGUCAUAGAAUAGCCUCUGGAAAGCUGCCAUGUGAUGGGUCUGCAAACAUAUGGGCAAUAGCAGACUUCCAUCACUGGAAGGACAUGAAAGUACGUGUGCUUUACCUUCCCAAGGGUUCGAAGCCCUCAUUAUUGUCGGCUGGCCCCACCCAAAAUCAGCCUCAUAAAAUGGCAUUCGUGUCCAGCUAAUAAUCUUCAGAUUUGGACACUGGCUCGUCUUUGGGCUCUGUGUGACUUUCGUCAGAUCGCCCACUCCUUCCAAGAAAUCAAUAGCUGAUCUCAGAUACUUAUCUUCCAUCUUCUUUAUUGCCUUGUGAACUCUUUCCACCGUUUCCAUUAAUGACUCUGCUCGCAGUUCUCCGCAUAAAGCAAUCGGUGUAGCAAAGAACACCACAUUCCCAAAAAACCCAGGUGGAAGUGGAGGACUAAAUCUGGACCUACCAUCAAUUGACAUGUAUAAUUUGGUUGCUUGAUCAUCUGAUAAACCACGUGCUUUGCACGAGCAACGCCAUAUAUGUGCAGUUAGGACCUCAUAGGUACUAUACUUGUUCUUAGCCUUAUCCUUGAGGAUGUGGAGUUGGUCAGGUCUGAGCUUAAGGAUUUCGAAAGAAUUGGGUUUAGAUUCACGUGGUUGGUUUUCUGGGGUUUGGUCAGAGAAGUUAAUAGUGGGUGGAGAAUCGUAUUCUAUGUGGUGGAAUGUAGGGAGGGGUGGCUGGCGGUGGCGGAGGAUGGUCCUGUCAAUGAAGGGAGGAGUGCUAAUGGAAAGGCCGCGUGCGGUGUCGGCCCAGGAGUUGAUGAAAUGGAUGGCGGAUAUACCAUCAGCUAACGUGUGAUGCAACCCAACGCCAAGACAGACUCCACCGCAUUCAAAUUUGGUCACCUGUAGAACAAGUAGUGGAAAAGAAGAUAUCCCACUUGAAUAGUCGACUUCAGGAACGAGUUGUCGCAGUACAUGACUGGGCAUGAAGUCACCUACUUCAUUAUCCAUGGAAGAAUCUGCUUCAGCUUCUGCAAACAAAACUCCUUCUUUAUUACAGUUGAUUUCAAUUCUGCCAUUAUCAUCACUUCCCAGUCUUCCUGCUACAGGGUAAAAUGGAACAAGAACUUUGCUCAAAGCCUCUUUAAGCACUUUGGGUUCGAAGAAAUUAGAAGAACCAUUUGGCUUGUAUAGGUAUGCUGAAGGUAAAUGAGUUCUUCCUUGCAUGAGGUCUAAGUUAGAGAGCCAUAAACGCUCACUGGGAGUAUCUUGCAUUGGGUACACCAUAGUUGUCUCCUUUGUAAUGAUCUUCAUCUUCACCUUAUGAUUGCAGAGACAAAUGUCGUUAGAUGUGGUGAGAAUAGGGUUGAUAUGAC